UGCCAGCCGCCGCGGUAAUACGGAGACUGCGAGCGUUACUCGGAUUCACUGGGCGUAAAGGGUACGUAGGUGGCAUAGUGUGUCAGGUGUGAAAUCUCGGGGCUUAACUCCGAAACUGCGCCUGAAACUACUAAGCUAGAGUUUUGGAGAGGACAGUGGAAUUCUUGGUGUAGCGGUGAAAUGCGUAGAUAUCAAGAGGAACACCGAUAGCGAAGGCAGCUGUCUGGACAAAUACUGACACUCAAGUACGAAAGCGUGGGUAGCGAAAGGGAUUAGAUA
This 279-nucleotide ribosomal RNA is filed under the name uncultured bacterium. Its description in RNAcentral is "partial 16S ribosomal RNA". It matches the Rfam family "Bacterial small subunit ribosomal RNA", at positions 506 to 784 of the family's 1533-position model. The record is from RNAcentral.